This 1044-nucleotide ribosomal RNA is filed under the name Triticum aestivum (bread wheat). RNAcentral's name for it is "partial small subunit ribosomal RNA". The record is from RNAcentral. Lineage: Eukaryota; Viridiplantae; Streptophyta; Magnoliopsida; Poales; Poaceae.
AUGAAGCGCAUCGUUAUUCCUGAACGGCAUGGAACGCUGCCUUCUCUGAUGCCUCCUAGGACGCUACCCAAUCCGCCAUUCUCGAGCUACCGCGUGCGCCAAGCCUGUUCGACCGCACGAUUCUUUUACUGUCGCUCAAUUCUCACCGCUGUCGCUGGGUCAGCCGUCAAUUCCUUUUUUACAAUUACAGCUGCUUCAGGAGUGGAUGACAGGUGGGGCUCGUUAGCCGUACGGUCGAGAGUACCAGCCCCACGUCCGGUUCCUCCUCCCCCACUCUCCACCCCCACGCUCCCCGUGCAGCCGCCGCCUCUCCCCAUCCUCCCAUCUCGCAGGAGCCGCCGCUCCCCGGUUCUUUCCCUGCCCUCUGAGGAGCCCCCAUCCCAUCCUCGCACCAGAGCUCGGUGGCAGCGGAGAAGAGGAUCGAUGGUGGGAGAGGAUGGGAGAUUGAGGAGAGAGAGAACCGAUGCAGAGGAGAGGGGAGACAAGGUGGGCAGAGGCCAGGCGUCGUCACCGGAGACGCGGAUCUGCGGCGUAGUGGGAGAGGUGACGCCGGCUGGUGAGCGACUCACCACCAGCUACUGUUUGGCGCGGGCAUGGAGAAGGAUUUUCUUGUGGCUCUCCAUUAGCAUGAUUCCCCUCGACCACCAUAUCAAUCUGGCUGCCUUCUGUACAUUUUUGGUCAUCACUAAAGCUUGUGGGGACCAUGGGAAGCUAAUGAAAAGGAAAUUCACAAUUCAUACAAAGGAAUGCCAUGCUUCCUGUUUUUACUCCACUCUUGGCCUGGAUCCAAAGCCCCCCUUCGGUUUUGGAUGUGCUCUCUUAGGGGUAAUGCUGCCAUUGCCAUGGUCCACCACACUCGGUGCUGCAAGGGGGAUUGCCUUCCUGCACGAAGCUGAGAAGCCCGUCAUCUACAGGGAUUUCAAGACAUCCAACAUAUUGCCCGAUGAGGAGUACAAUGCAAAGCUCUCUGACUUCAGCCUAGCGAAAGACUGGACCGGUUAUGGCAUUUGUGUUGACGCCUAUGCUUCCUUCAGUAUGAUCUAG